RNAcentral lists this ribosomal RNA (433 nucleotides) under uncultured bacterium. Its description in RNAcentral is "partial 16S ribosomal RNA". It matches the Rfam family "Bacterial small subunit ribosomal RNA", at positions 29 to 507 of the family's 1533-position model. The record is from RNAcentral.
AACGAACGCUGGCGGCAUGCCUAACACAUGCAAGUCGAACGAGACCUUCGGGUCUAGUGGCGCACGGGUGCGUAACGCGUGGGAACCUGCCCUUAGGUUCGGAAUAACUCCCCGAAAGGGGUGCUAAUACCGGAUAAUGUCUUCGGACCAAAGAUUUAUCGCCUUUGGAUGGGCCCGCGUUGGAUUAGCUAGUUGGUAGGGUAAAAGCCUACCAAGGCGACGAUCCAUAGCUGGUCUGAGAGGAUGAUCAGCUACACUGGGACUGAGACACGGCCCAGACUCCUACGGGAGGCAGCAGUGGGGAAUAUUGGACAAUGGGCGAAAGCCUGAUCCAGCAAUGCCGCGUGAGUGAUGAAGGCCUUAGGGUUGUAAAGCUCUUUUACCCGGGAUGAUAAUGACAGUACCGGGAGAAUAAGCUCCGGCUACCUCCGUG